AGUUCAAGGAAACAGGUCUGUUAGAAAAGAUCACAAAUCACAUCAGGCAGUAACUCAAUAAACAUCUCUCUCUACAGUUUCUCUGAACUAAUCAAGCUCCAGAUGGUGCUGCAAACUAAACAACACAAGGACAAGCUGUUCUUCCAAGGACCUUAGAUCACCCCCAGGAGGAGCCCUAGUGCUGUUCCCCAUCUGAUGUCCCUUUCAGCAGGAAAUAGCCAGAAACAGUCAUCACCCAAAACCCCCUAACAGCAAUUAGGGUGAUAUUUCCACAGCAGCUCCAGAAAAGUUUUCAUGUGUGUCCAUGUCAUUUUUUCCAAUUCAACGAGAGACAAACAACCCUGGUGUUCCUCAACUCAUCAGAGCCAUAUCACUGAUACAGGAAAUAUAAAGAAAAAAUGGUAAUAAUUCCACGUGGAUAAAGUGGAGAUCUUCAACUGGGCAUUGUAGAUUUAAAUGUGUAUGUGAAAUACAGAUUAUUCCACAGUGUGCUAUGGACUUCAGAAUCAUAAAUAUUAAGUCACUGUAAGCCAGUUCUAGUUUUUACAAUUGAAAUUACACUUUAUGCCACAGUUUCCCACAAUAUGCUUCACUUCUGACAUUUUAUGCAAACUUCAGUUUGUAUAUAAAAUUAGAUGUUUUUCAUCAAGAAGAAUAGCUAAUGGAUGCUGAGCUUAAUAAGUAGGUGAUGUGUUCAUUUGUGUAGCAAACCAC
RNAcentral lists this long non-coding RNA (714 nucleotides) under Homo sapiens (human). RNAcentral's name for it is "HSALNT0313044". The record is from RNAcentral. Lineage: Eukaryota; Metazoa; Chordata; Mammalia; Primates; Hominidae.